CACAGCAGUACUGGCAAAAUAUUCUGUGGACAGAUGAAACCAAAAUUGAGUUGUUUGGAAGAAACACACAACACUAUGUGUGGCGAAAAAAAAGGCACAGCAUACCAACAUCAAAACCUCAUCCCAACUGUGAAGUAUGGUGGUGGGGGCAUCAUGGUUUGGGGCUGCUUUGCUGCGUCAGAGCCUGGACGGAUUGCUAUCAUCGAAGGAAAAAUGAAUUCCCAAGUUUAUCAAGACAUUUUGCAGGAGAACUUAAGGCCAUCUGUCUACCAGCUGAAGCUCAACAGAAGAUGG
This is a non-coding RNA of Pelobates cultripes (western spadefoot toad), 294 nucleotides long. Lineage: Eukaryota; Metazoa; Chordata; Amphibia; Anura; Pelobatidae. The record is from the annotation of a GenBank genome assembly.